GGGGAAUAUUGCGCAAUGGGGGAAACCCUGACGCAGCAAUACCGCGUGAGUGAAGAAGGUUUUCGGAUCGUAAAGCUCUGUUAUUGGGGAAGAAAAAAAGACGGUACCCAAGAAGAAAGUCCCGGCUAACUACGUGCCAGCAGCCGCGGUAAUACGUAGGGGACAAGCGUUGUCCGGAUUUACUGGGCGUAAAGGGCACGCAGGCGGUUUUUUAAGUCAGAUGUGAAAGGUACCGGCUCAACCGGUGACAUGCAUUUGAAACUGAAAGACUUGAGUAUUGGAGAGGCAAGUGGAAUUCCUAGUGUAGCGGUGAAAUGCGUAAAUAUAUGGAGGAACACCAGUGGCGAAAGCGGCUUGCUGGGUCUAAACUGACGCUGAUGCACGAAAGCGUGGGGAGCAAACA
Molecule: ribosomal RNA, 403 nt
Filed under: uncultured Acetobacterium sp.
Lineage: Bacteria; Bacillati; Bacillota; Clostridia; Eubacteriales; Eubacteriaceae
Description: bacterial SSU rRNA
Rfam family: Bacterial small subunit ribosomal RNA
Source: RNAcentral